This is a long non-coding RNA of Rattus norvegicus (Norway rat), 2524 nucleotides long. RefSeq lists it as uncharacterized. The record is from RefSeq and is a predicted model, not a curated record. Lineage: Eukaryota; Metazoa; Chordata; Mammalia; Rodentia; Muridae.
GGGGCGGCACCGGGAGUCUUGCAGGGAAGAAGAGAGGGCGAGUAGGGAGAAAGCUAGCCCUGCAGACCCUAAUCGAGGAGCAAAAGAGCACAAGAGAGGGCGUGGCCGGCGAAAGAGGAGGAGCCUAGCUGUGUCACCUAAGAUGUGGACACUGAGGUCUAGAACCCAGGGCUUUGCAAUUGCAUACCUCUCUAUAGAUCCCCUCUCCCCAUCCAGGAGCAGCCACUUCCACCCGGUCUGGCUUGGUGUAGCUCAGGACUGGAAAACAGAGAGCUUGGCCUGCUCUCCAAACCUAGGUUACUGUCCCCAUGAUUCAGGAGACAAACCAUAAAACUGGGACUUCAGUUCUCUGCUGAUUGAACGAGUGAAAUUUCUGAGUUCUCACUUGUAAAAUGAGGGGACAUGAGUGAGAACAGAACAGCCGGUUCAAACAAGCCUAUGAGUGAAGGAUCUUCUCUUUAGGGGUCUGUUUCAGUAACUGAAGAACCAAGAGACUUGACUGGAAAAGCUUAAACGAUCCAGCAUCCUCCAGAAAGGCAGUGGGAGGCACCGACUUUCCACCCAAGUUCUAAACUCUAAAAUAGAAACAUAAACCCUCCUACCCCAUCCUCCAGCCUUUAGAACUGUCCCUUGGAGGCCGUCCUCCUGCCUGUCACCAGCUGGCCAAGGACCACCUCAGUGCAGCUCUGUGCUCCAGGACUUGUUAGGCCUCUAACACCCUAUGGCAGCCGCCCUGGUCCCACUUACUAGCUAGAUCAAGCCUUACCCUCCCCACCCUCUCCACUUCUCCUGCAGACCCGCGGCGGCCCCUAGGGGGCAGUGUUGCUCCGAACUUGGCGGGCCGCCGCCACUUCCCCCGCCCGGGCGAGCGCUGAGAGGACGCUAGGGUUCUGGGAAUACUGGAUGCCCCCGGCACACGCCGCCCCCCGCCGCCGGCCCAGCCCCGGGGCUCCCGCGCUGCGCAGCCCGCUCGGUGCGGACUUGCUGCUGCCUCCCACUCCUCUCCGCACAAGGCACUUCGCGGGAAAAGGCUGGUUUUUGCCUUUUUAUUUUUCGUCAGAGGUUGAGGCAGACAUUGGGUUCAAGCUGUACGCACGGACCUACUCGUCUGUGCUCAGAGAUGAGGGGGAAAAUUAAAAGAGGGUAGGAGGCUUGUUCUGCCCAAGAACCUGUCAACUGUCUCCCUGUCACCCCUUUAUCCACUGCCACCCUUCCUGGCGUGACUGACAGGCAUCCAUCCCGCGAGCCUCCUCUCCCAGAGCAUCGCCUGGGAGCCCCAACCCCAGCAGGACGUGCCCUGAGGCUGUAGUGUCCGAGGGGUCUUGGCCCCAUCGCGCGCCUCGCAAACGUAGCCGCGAGGUCCGGGCUGCGUUUAGGGGAUGAUUCCUGCUGCGAAUGCCCUCAUCGCCCGGCUGAGCCGUGAAGUCCGGCUGGAGCGAUGGCUCUAGGGGGGAAACGGAGGGAAAGCCCCAUUCGAGUUCCGGCCAACGAUUUAAUGGGAGGCGGGGGAUGUAAAAGCCCCGAACCCACAAAGCAGACUUUUUAAAAAUUCUAAUUGAAACCAUCUCGAAGUAAGGGCGGCCAGGAAUGGGCCAGCUCCCCGCCCCCCGUCCCAUCCCCCUCCUCUGCUCCCCGGAGUCCGAUGAAGUCAUGAUAACUAGACUACAAAAAGAAAAAAGUGGGGGGUGGUCUGGGGGGCACGGGGGUCCCGGGCUGGGGCCCCGCACGGACACAGUUUGGAUACUAUGGUUACGCGAUCCGACCCAAACAGCGAAGAUGAACAACAAUAGCGGCCGCCAGAGGAGGAAAUUCCUUCCGGGGUGGACGGCGCGGGGGGAGGGGCGCCUGGCUGGAACGCCGAGGCGGCGGCUGGGCCAAUCAGCGCGCGGCCGCCGGCGGUUUCAAGGUGCCCCGAGCAGCCCGCACCCCCCUCCCGCACUCCCCCUCUCCGCGCGCUCCGCUCGGGUGCUGGAAUUGCUGAGACGUUUCCCUGCACGCGCCCGGGUAACACUGCGGGGGCUGCUGCCCAGGCCGACACCCCCAGCGCUCCUCGCACCCCUCCCGGAGCCCACCACCCGGGGCGACUGAACGUUCCACUGCACGAGUUGCUUGCACUGGAAAAGGGGGGGGAUCCCUGCCAGUCACUCCUGUCUAGGGGUUGGUUCCUGCAUAAGCCUGUUUUCUAUUUUAAAGCAUGUCUCAAGGGGGAAAAGAGAGAGAGAGUGAGAAGAUCUACCCUGGACUCUGCAAACCUGGGAAGACUGGUCCCUGACUCCCUGAUCUCAGGGUCUGAAAAUUCACCAAAGUUCUCUGGAGCAUCUGUGUGCUCAGCUGGCGGGAUGGGCAACUAUUGCUGUAAACAGGAAACCAGCAAGAAGGGAGUUGGCAGGAGCCCAGUCUCUGUCUCUUUUCAUGCCCCUCCUCAGAGCCCCCGACUCUGAGCUCUCAAAACACACUUAGCUCCUGAACACUUAAGCAUCUAUGUUCCUGAGAUUGGCACAAAAUAAAGUCUGAACAAACAGCA